This is a transfer RNA of Exophiala mesophila, 114 nucleotides long. It matches the Rfam family "tRNA". From Rfam's summary of the family: Transfer RNA (tRNA) molecules are approximately 80 nucleotides in length. Their secondary structure includes four short double-helical elements and three loops (D, anti-codon, and T loops). NCBI's taxonomy places the organism in Eukaryota, Fungi, Ascomycota, Eurotiomycetes, Chaetothyriales, Herpotrichiellaceae. The record is from Rfam.
GACAGUUUGGCCGAGUGGUUAAGGCGACAGACUCGAACUAUGGUUGUGAAUCGUCAUAAUCAUGAUAGUGAUCUGUUGGGUUCGCCCGCACAGGUUCAAAUCCUGUAGCUGUCG